Molecule: ribosomal RNA, 430 nt
Filed under: bacterium
Lineage: Bacteria
Description: partial 16S ribosomal RNA
Rfam family: Bacterial small subunit ribosomal RNA
Source: RNAcentral
UGGGGAAUUGUUCGCAAUGGGCGCAAGCCUGACGACGCAACGCCGCGUGGAGGAUGAAGAUCUUCGGGUCGUAAACUUCUUUCGAUCGAGACGAAUUCCUCUGGGGUGAAUAAUCCUGGAGGUUGACGGUACCGAGAGAAGAAGCCCCGGCUAACUCCGUGCCAGCAGCCGCGGUAAUACGGGGGGGGCAAGCGUUGUUCGGAAUUACUGGGCGUAAAGGGCUCGUAGGUGGCCAACUAAGUCGGACGUGAAAUCCCUCGGCUUAACCGAGGAACUGCGUCCGAUACUGGUUGGCUUGAGUUUGGGAGAGGGAUGCGGAAUUCCAGGUGUAGCGGUGAAAUGCGUAGAUAUCUGGAGGAACACCGGUGGCGAAGGCGGCAUCCUGGACCAAUACUGACGCUGAGGAGCGACAGCCAGGGGAGCAAACGGG